This 254-nucleotide ribosomal RNA is filed under the name uncultured bacterium. RNAcentral's name for it is "partial 16S ribosomal RNA". It matches the Rfam family "Bacterial small subunit ribosomal RNA", at positions 524 to 776 of the family's 1533-position model. The record is from RNAcentral.
UACGUAGGGUGCGAGCGUUGUCCGGAAUUAUUGGGCGUAAAGAGCUCGUAGGCGGUUUCGUAAGUCGGAUGUGAAAACUCAGGGCUCAACCCGGAGACGCCAUCCGAUACUGCGAUGACUUGAGUCUGGUAGGGGAACACGGAAUUCCUGGUGUAGCGGUGAAAUGCGCAGAUAUCAGGAGGAACACCGAUGGCGAAGGCAGUGUUCUGGGCCAGUACUGACGCUGAGGAGCGAAAGCGUGGGGAGCGAACAGG